Molecule: ribosomal RNA, 407 nt
Filed under: uncultured bacterium
Lineage: Bacteria
Description: partial 16S ribosomal RNA
Rfam family: Bacterial small subunit ribosomal RNA
Source: RNAcentral
AUUGAACGCUGGCGGCAGGCCUAACACAUGCAAGUCGAGCGGAGCGGCGGACGGGUGAGUAAUGCCUAGGACUCUGCCUGGGCGUGGGGGAUAACGUCCGGAAACGGGCGCUAAUACCGCAUACUCACAGAUGAGCCUAGGUCGGAUUAGGUAGUUGGUGGGGUAAAGGCCUACCAAGGCGACGAUCCGUAACUGGUCUGAGAGGAUGAUCAGUCACACUGGAACGUAGACACGGUCCAGACUCCUACGGGAGGCAGCAGUGGGAAAUAUUGGACAAUGGGCGAGAGCCUGAUCCAGCCAUGCCGCGUGUGUGAAGAAGGUCUUCGGAUUGUAAAGCACUUUAAGUUGGGAGGCGUUACCAACAGAAUAAGCACCGGCUAACUUCGUGCCAGCAGCCGCGGUAAUUC